ACUAGCGUGUGAGUAAGUCCUUGAAAUCCACUGUGUAUUCUGCACUGAGCACACAGCUCAGUCUGUACCAGCUACAGUUCAAGUGACCAGAAGUCCCAUGCGGCUAGUGGCUAGUAGCUGCUGCAUUGGAAAGGCAGUUCCAGAAUGUAAUUUUUUCAACAGUUUCAUUCCUCAGAUACGAGCACCUUCAAGGGGAAGGGUACUGUGUUUGGGAGGAUCAAAAACUCAAGGCCAGGCAACUGCAAAUACCAUGCCUUAUCUGCUUUCUCCGAAAAAUGUUACUAGGAGGUAUCCAGGAUAUGAAUGAUCUGUUUUCCCAGCUUGGGUUGCUGACAACAAUCUUUGCUUUGUAGGUCCAAUCUGGCAAGUCUUAAAAGCUUAAUAAAUAGCCAGCUUUGUAAACGAGGUCCAGAAAUGACCAGCAAACUCCUCCUAUCUGCCCCUCAAACCUUCAAUACACGCUUCCCUUGCUUAAUACUGGCUAUGACCAGAACACAAAUCAAUUGAAUUUAGGCUCUAUCUAUGAGGAUCUUCCAAACUGCUCCACAUGCAGUCAAUUUGAAUGAGCAGACUGCUUGUCCAUUGCACUUUCUAAUCAGUGAUAUAACAUGUGCAGAGUUAAGGAUUCUUUUUUGGACAAAUAUUUCUUUAAAAAGGAAAAGAAGUUAUCUUUGUGUCAGGCUCUCUGUUAGGUACUUUUACACACACGAUCCACUUCAGUUGCUUCAACAGUUUUUCCAGGUAGGUACUGUUAUUUCUCUUUUCACAGAUGAGGAAAGUUGGAAAAGACCCUGAUGCUGGGAAAGAUCUGGGGCAAGAGUGGGCAACAGAGGAUGAGAUGGUUGGAUGGCAUCACUGAUUCAAUGGACAUGAGUUUGAGCAAGCUCUGGGACAUAGUGAAGGACAGGGAAGCCUGGUGUUCUGCAGUUCAUGGGAUCACAAAGAGACAGACACGGCCGAGCGGCAGAACAACAACUGUUAUUCCCCUUUGCACAGAUGAGGAAACUGGGCUCAGAGGGACAAGUAACUUGUUCAAGGUCCCACACAGUCAGCGAAUGGAAGGGCUGAACCUCUGUCAGCCUUGGUCCAAAGUCCAAGUUCUUUUUACACUGCUCUGGGCUCCCCAGUUUCCAGGGGAAACUAGUUUAGUUUUCUAGUUGCUAGCUAAAUCCCAAUUAUAUGAUUAGGCCACCCAAGAUGGCUAUUCUCUUGCUCUUCCUGCUUGACCAAUGCCUGUCUCACCUACACCCCGAUUGACUUUCCCUCUUAAUCAGAGAGCCUAACCAGUAAAUGCCUAUGUACUUGCCCCCAGCCCCAGCUAGUGAUUGUUCUAAUCUUCAGAUCAGAGCCAUCUCCACUAUGAUAGUUUAUCAAAGGGGCAAUGAGAGGCGUGCCCCUCUGCUGGUUUCUCUGGCAACUGAUGAGCCAAUCUGAUAUUAAUUAACCCUAUAACUGGUUACCUCCUUUUCCCUCUGGUAGCAAAGACUACUGCCACGUUCUGCCGGCUGUCUGCUGCACACAUUGGGGCGUUGCUCCAGGACCUUGCUUCAGUCACGUAAGAUCCUCCCUCCAUUAAACUAUCAAUGUCUCUGUUACUGACUCCAGGCUUUAGUCUUGAGGCUGGGCAAGCACAGGGCUUGCAGGCACAGUGUCUUCGGAGAUAUUCUUUCAGAGUCAGGGGAGGGAGGCUCAGAAGAGUAUUCUAGAGAAGGCAGCACUUUACAUCGUGCUUUCAAGAAUGGCGAGGACAUGGAAAGACAGGGGACCCUCCCAGGUAGCAAUUCCAGGUCGUGAGACUAAACGCAAGCCGGGCAAGCUGGCAGCCUCUGCUCACAGGCCUUCUUCCACUCCCAUCUUCCCUACCAACAUCCAUCCAGGUUUCUCCUGGCCCAGGUUAAAUGCCUGACACCUUCAGGCUGAAAGAGGUGUCCAUUUCCUAUUCACUCAUGACACCCUGUGAUUAUUUCUAUCACUGCUACUUCCUUAUUAAAUGAUUCUGCAUUCAACUAUAUAUAAAAUAAGUAACGAAUAAAGACCUACUGUGUAGCACAGGGAACUCUACCCCAUACUCUGUAAUGGUGCAUAUGGGAAAAGAAUCUAAAAAAGAGUGAGUAUAUUUAUAUAUAUAGCUGAUUCACUUUCUGUACACCUGAAAUUAACACAAAUUAUAAAAUCAGCUAUACUCCAAUAAAAUUUUUUAAAAAAUUAAAAAUGAUUGUGUUUUGUGUUCCCUUCUUGAGGUCAAGGAUUUCAUAUAUUUUUGAAGCCCCAGAGACAAAACAAUGC
This is a long non-coding RNA of Bos taurus (domestic cattle), 2286 nucleotides long. Lineage: Eukaryota; Metazoa; Chordata; Mammalia; Artiodactyla; Bovidae. The record is from Ensembl.